CAUGAAUAAGGGGCUCCCAACUCUGUGCCAGCAGGAGCGGUAAUACAGAGGCCCCAAGCAUUAUCCGGAUUUACUGGGCGUAAAGGGUGCGUAGGCGGUGUGAUUAGUCAGAUGUUAAAUCCUGGGGCUUAACCCCAGAACUGCAUUUGAAACGGUCAUACUAGAAGGUGUUAGAGGCAAGCAGAACUCUCGGUGUAGGGGUGAAAUCCGUUGAUAUCGAGGGGAAUACCAAAUGCGAAGGCAGCUUGCUGGGACAUUCUUGACGCUGAGGCACGAAAGCAUGGGUAGCGAAGCGGAUUAGAUACCCGCGUAGUCCAUGCCCUAAACGCUGUCUGUUGGUUUUGGGGAGUAUCGACCCUCUCCGAGACGAAGUUAACACGUUAAACAGACCGCCUGGGUAGUACGAUCGCAAGAUUAAAACUCAAAGGAAUAGACGGGGGCUCGCACAAGCGGUGGAUCAUGUGGCUUAAUUCGUAGCUAAGCGAAAAACCUUACCAAGGCUAGAAACUAUACUGCACGCUCCGGGAAACCGGAGAAGCCUUCGAGGGUGUAUAGCAGGUGAUGCAUGGCCGUCGUCAGUUCGUGGCUUGAGCUGUUCCCUUAAGUGGGGAAACGAACGCAACCCUCGUUGCCUGUUACAAGUGUCAGGCGAGACUGCUCCCUCACGGGAGAGGAAGGUGAGGAUGACGCCAGGUCAGCAUGUCCCUUGAUGCCUCGGGCUGCACACGUGAUACAAUGGGUGGUACAACGGGACGCAAUACGGUAACGUGGAGCAAAUCCUUAUAAAACCAUCCCCAGUUCGGAUUGAGGUCUGCAACUCGACCUCAUGAAGUUGGAAUCGCUAGUAAUCGUGAAUCAGCAUCGUCACGGUGAAUACGUUCCCGAGCCUUGUACUCACAAUAAAAGCGCGCAGCAGCGCGUAUAUCUAGAUG
This 932-nucleotide ribosomal RNA is filed under the name Minisyncoccota bacterium. Its description in RNAcentral is "bacterial SSU rRNA". It matches the Rfam family "Bacterial small subunit ribosomal RNA", at positions 481 to 1533 of the family's 1533-position model. Lineage: Bacteria; Bacillati; Minisyncoccota. The record is from RNAcentral.